GAGUGAAACCAGGAACUGGUACCAGUCAGAGAACUGAACAUUUCUCAUCGAUGAUUUCAGCAGACAAGAUGAACAAAAUGAGGACGUUUCACCUUCUCCUGGUCUGCCUGACAGCAGGUUGUAGAGCUAAAUCUAAAGGAAAGGACUGCAGCGCGGGAGAAGUGAAAUACACUUGCAACAAGAAAAAGUGUACAAUGACUGGUGUGAUCCAACAAUCUGGUGUCCCGCUGUGGAAAGUGAUCAUCAAGUAUCCUGAAGAAGAGAAGCAGAGAAAGAAUUCCAACAAAUUACAAUUUGAAGUUGAUGAUGCCUGUGUGACAGCUUUUCCUCACGUUGCUAAAAAAACGAAAACAACCACCAUUGCCUGCAACCUCGCUCAUAUCAUCAACUCCUCAUCCACUGACAAGUUUUUCUGCAAAGUCAAUCGUUCUGACUGCAGUCCCAGACGUGGUGUCAGUAUCACACCAACCAGCAGAGGCUUCAACAUCACCAUAAGUCAGGUAACUCUGAGAAACCAAGGAGAGUACUGGUGUGGGCUCAAAGAAAACACAAAAUAUUCCGGAGAGAACAAGAAUUAUUCAGCUGCUCUCAAGAAAAUCCAGCUGCUGGUUGAAGAUAUCAAAUACUUUAGAAAAUCCCGGACCACCGGUCACAACGUCUCAUACCACUGCAACUACGCAGACUCCCCAGCUGUUGUCGACUCGUUCAUCUGUAAGGGAGACGAUCCACGCGUGUGUCAGACCACCGUGAACUCCUCAACGCCUGAGAACGGAAGGUUUUCAAUGAAAGACGAGAAAGAUCAGAGAAAUAUCACAGUAACCAUGAGAGAGCUGACAGUGAAAGACAGCGGGUCGUACUGGUGUGGAGCAGAAACCUCCGAGAGAGAAGGCGGGAAAAUCUUCUUCAACAGACUCUCUCUGACAGUCGGGCCUGCACAGUCAUCCUCCUCAGCCUCUCCUUUAAUCCUGACGACUGAACCUUCUGUGGGGAGUCACAGCGGCUCUCAGGCCCACAUCAGUGUGGUCAUCUGUGUCGUCCUGGUGCUGCUGCUGCUGCUGCUUGUGCCAGUUUCAACUCUCAUUUACAAACGAUGUUCAGCGUCAAAAACCUCAGCAGCACCGAAUAGAAACAGCACCAAGGAGAUGAGUGGACAACCCAUAAUUCUGCAUACAGACCUCAUAAAGUACACAAUCCACACAAAUUCUGUUCCAAGUAAAUUUCAGACAACUUCUUUCCUUCUGUAACUGGCUGGUUAGUGGUGAUGCCUCACAGCUGUGGCAGGAACCAACGACCAGCUGGGUUGUGUUGGGGGAGGGAAUAAAUUCGGCGAGCGCACGCUUCCUCCCCCUUGGCACUUCUCUGUGGGAGCAGGUAUGUGGCACAGGCUCUGGCUCUGGCUCGGCGUUGGCAUAUAUUAAUAUUUUCUAUUUUGUUUCUUUUUAGGUUCCAGUGUGCGGGUCGGGGCAGCCGAGUUGCCUCUGUUGCCUUGUUUUGUCUUGUUUUAUUUUGUUUUUCUUUUUUGUUUAUUGCCCUUUUUUCCUUUCUUCUGUUUCUUUCGACUCUGCCCCAGCUGGGUCAGUGCGUUAGCUGGUUGGACUGUUAGGUUGAUUUAAUUUGGUCUUGGUUGUCUUCUUGGUGUGAUUCAUUGUAGGAAACACCAGGCAAGGCUCAGGAACAGACCUGUGGGGUGUGCGUUGCUCAGCCGCGUUUUAAUCAAGUUGUGUGUCGUUGCGUCUCACCAUAUUUAUCUUUAAGGUGGCGAAUAUUGUCUGGUUCUGUGCCCACUGGAGUAACAAUAAAGAUUACAUCUAUGAGGAGAUGAAAGCACGCCCCCCCAUGCCAGACUAUGUCAACAUGCCCAUUGGAGCGGCGAGUGACGUAGACGGAUGAUCUACAGCAAACCUUCCCACAAUGCACCCCGUCUCCCUCUAUCACACCACCAUCAACAUUCAGAGGUGCCCUGAUCGAGACGCUGAUGAUUCAAAGAUCCACAAGCACGAGUCCUGCCAAUAUGUGGCUGUAAAGUGUAAAGUGCCAUUUCUUCCUCAUCAUCAUCAUCAUCAUCAUCAUCAUCAUCAUCCUCUUCAUCCUCAAUCCACAAUGAACAAACCCUGACAGUAGUGACAGUUCUGUCAAUUUUCUAUUUCUAUCUUUUUACUUAACGAUAUCCAUUUGUUUUUUUAGAAUUUACAGUAUAUGUAUCAGUUCUUUUGAAAUUGUAUUUUCCAAAUUAAGGACAAUUUAAAAAAAAGACAAACAUUGACUCUAUUUUUGUGAAUUCCAUGACAAAUUGAAAUUACAACAAAUGUUUUCAGUGCUACAUUUCUAAACAAAUUGGGUUUUUUUCUCUCUGCCUUUUGCACUUUUUUACAAAUAUGUGCACUUGUAUUAGCAAUUUGCAAUUAGCAAUGUAUCUGUCUGCAUGAUGCAAUUUUAAUUACGUUUGUAUGAAAAACUUCUCUUGCUUCACAAAAAUCAUAUUCUGUUUCAGAUUUAUUGUCAGUUG
Molecule: RNA transcript, 2506 nt
Organism: Salarias fasciatus (jewelled blenny)
Lineage: Eukaryota; Metazoa; Chordata; Actinopteri; Blenniiformes; Blenniidae
Gene name: CMRF35-like molecule 8
Exons: 9
Source: RefSeq, a predicted model, not a curated record